AAUCAAUACUAUGAUCCUAUAACGACAACUAAAGUUAUUUAAAGACAAAUUAUACUAGUCAAUUAAUUUUUUAAACCAUCCUUCAUUUCAUAAACAAACCAUGCUAACACCAAACAAUCUCUACAACCAUAUGUCAUCUUAUAUCAAAUCAUGUCAAUUCUAAUAAUUUCUACAACCACAUGUUCUCGUAUAUCAAACCAUGUCAAUCCCAAGAAUCUCCAUAAUCGUAUAUCAUCUCCCGUACUUUCUCGCACCAAACUUGUUUACCAAAUAGGGCGACUUGAGUCAUCUUCCACCGUAGUUUUGAACCUAUCUUCC
Molecule: long non-coding RNA, 318 nt
Filed under: Vigna radiata
Lineage: Eukaryota; Viridiplantae; Streptophyta; Magnoliopsida; Fabales; Fabaceae
Description: long non-coding RNA (VRAD_LNC002725)
Source: RNAcentral